RNAcentral lists this small RNA (16 nucleotides) under Arabidopsis thaliana (thale cress). RNAcentral's name for it is "ATSL179010". Lineage: Eukaryota; Viridiplantae; Streptophyta; Magnoliopsida; Brassicales; Brassicaceae. The record is from RNAcentral.
AAAAACAGCAAAAAAA